RNAcentral lists this ribosomal RNA (301 nucleotides) under uncultured bacterium. RNAcentral describes it as "partial 16S ribosomal RNA". It matches the Rfam family "Bacterial small subunit ribosomal RNA", at positions 509 to 807 of the family's 1533-position model. The record is from RNAcentral.
CAGCAGCCGCGGUAAUACAGAGGAUGCAAGCGUUGUCCGGAAUUAUUGGGCGUAAAGAGCUUGUAGGCGGUUGGUCGCGUCAGCUGUGAAAGGCUGGGGCUUAACCCUGGUUUUGCAGUGGGUACGGGCUAACUAGAGUGCAGUAGGGGAGACUGGAAUUCCUGGUGUAGCGGUGGAAUGCGCAGAUAUCAGGAGGAACACCGAUGGCGAAGGCAGGCCUCUGGGCUGUAACUGACGCUGAGAAGCGAACGCAUGGGGAGCGAACAGGAUUAGAGACCCGUGUAGUCCCUGUCUCUUAUAC